This 471-nucleotide ribosomal RNA is filed under the name Streptococcus mutans. RNAcentral's name for it is "bacterial SSU rRNA". It matches the Rfam family "Bacterial small subunit ribosomal RNA", at positions 28 to 474 of the family's 1533-position model. The record is from RNAcentral. Lineage: Bacteria; Bacillati; Bacillota; Bacilli; Lactobacillales; Streptococcaceae.
GACGAACGCGGCGGCGUGCCUAAUACAUGCAAGUGGGACGCAAGGAAACACACUGUGCUUGCACACCGUGUUUUCUUGAGUCGCGAACGGGUGAGUAACGCGUAGGUAACCUGCCUAUUAGCGGGGGAUAACUAUUGGAAACGAUAGCUAAUACCGCAUAAUAUUAAUUAUUGCAUGAUAAUUGAUUGAAAGAUGCAAGCGCAUCACUAGUAGAUGGACCUGCGUUGUAUUAGCUAGUUGGUAAGGUAAGAGCUUACCAAGGCGACGAUACAUAGCCGACCUGAGAGGGUGAUCGGCCACACUGGGACUGAGACACGGCCCAGACUCCUACGGGAGGCAGCAGUAGGGAAUCUUCGGCAAUGGACGAAAGUCUGACCGAGCAACGCCGCGUGAGUGAAGAAGGUUUUCGGAUCGUAAAGCUCUGUUGUAAGUCAAGAACGUGUGUGAGAGUGGAAAGUUCACACAGUGACG